Molecule: transfer RNA, 58 nt
Filed under: Cricetulus griseus (Chinese hamster)
Lineage: Eukaryota; Metazoa; Chordata; Mammalia; Rodentia; Cricetidae
Rfam family: tRNA
About the family: Transfer RNA (tRNA) molecules are approximately 80 nucleotides in length. Their secondary structure includes four short double-helical elements and three loops (D, anti-codon, and T loops). Further hydrogen bonds mediate the characteristic L-shaped molecular structure. tRNAs have two regions of fundamental functional importance: the anti-codon, which is responsible for specific mRNA codon recognition, and the 3' end, to which the tRNAs corresponding amino acid is attached (by aminoacyl-tRNA synthetases). tRNAs cope with the degeneracy of the genetic code in two manners: having more than one tRNA (with a specific anti-codon) for a particular amino acid; and 'wobble' base-pairing, i.e. permitting non-standard base-pairing at the 3rd anti-codon position.
Source: Rfam by way of RNAcentral
UAGCUCAGCUGGUAGAGCAUGAGACUUUUAAUCUCAGAAUCAUGGGUUCAUGACCCAA